This is a long non-coding RNA of Oreochromis aureus, 251 nucleotides long. RefSeq lists it as uncharacterized. The transcript has 3 exons. Lineage: Eukaryota; Metazoa; Chordata; Actinopteri; Cichliformes; Cichlidae. The record is from RefSeq and is a predicted model, not a curated record.
CUCCAUCCCUGCCGAGUGAACGAGAUCUUUGGUUUUGCCUUUGCUGACUGCUGAUCUGAUCGUCUCAAGUCUGGUAAGUAAAGGUUUUUCUGAGGUGCAGUGCUGGGAAAUGUUUCUCAUGAUAGGAGAUUCAGUGUAGUGGUGUGAGUGAGCACAGCUAUUGGUGAUCAUCAAAAGUCAUCAAAUCCUAGUAAAGUCUGUGUAAACAUUUCCAGACCUACAGAGGUCCGUAGGUUAUUGUAGCAGCACAU